UUAAGUGAUAAUUGCCUAGGAGAUACACCUGUUCUCAUGCCGAACACAGAAGUUAAGCCCUAGAACGCCGGAAGUAGUUGGGGGUUGC
This 88-nucleotide ribosomal RNA is filed under the name Streptococcus agalactiae. RNAcentral also lists the same sequence under 1 other name. The record is from RNAcentral. Lineage: Bacteria; Bacillati; Bacillota; Bacilli; Lactobacillales; Streptococcaceae.